GACGAACGCUGGCGGCGUGCUUAACACAUGCAAGUCGAACGGAAAGGCCCUGCUUUUGUGGGGUGCUCGAGUGGCGAACGGGUGAGUAACACGUGAGUAACCUGCCCUUGACUUUGGGAUAACUUCAGGAAACUGGGGCUAAUACCGGAUAGGAGCUCCUGCUGCAUGGUGGGGGUUGGAAAGAUUCGGCGGUUGGGGAUGGACUCGCGGCUUAUCAGCUUGUUGGUGGGGUAGUGGCUUACCAAGGCUUUGACGGGUAGCCGGCCUGAGAGGGUGACCGGCCACAUUGGGACUGAGAUACGGCCCAGACUCCUACGGGAGGCAGUAGUGGGGAAUAUUGCACAAUGGGCGGAAGCCUGAUGCAGCAACGCCGCGUGCGGGAUGACGGCCUUCGGGUUGUAAACCGCUUUCGCCUGUGACGAAGCGUGAGUGACGGUAAUGGGUAAAGAAGCACCGGCUAACUACGUG
This 468-nucleotide ribosomal RNA is filed under the name uncultured bacterium. RNAcentral describes it as "partial 16S ribosomal RNA". It matches the Rfam family "Bacterial small subunit ribosomal RNA", at positions 28 to 507 of the family's 1533-position model. The record is from RNAcentral.